UACGUAGGGUGCAAGCGUUGUCCGGAAUUAUUGGGCGUAAAGGGCGCGUAGGCGGCCUGGCAAGUGGAAGGUGAAAUCCCUCGGCUUAACCGAGGAACUGCCCUCCAAACUGCUUGGCUUGAGACCGGGAGAGGUGAGUGGAAUUCCCAGUGUAGCGGUGAAAUGCGUAGAUAUUGGGAGGAACACCAGUGGCGAAGGCGGCUCACUGGCCAUGUACUGACACUGAAACACGAAAGCGUGGGGAGCAAACAGG
RNAcentral lists this ribosomal RNA (253 nucleotides) under uncultured bacterium. RNAcentral's name for it is "partial 16S ribosomal RNA". It matches the Rfam family "Bacterial small subunit ribosomal RNA", at positions 524 to 776 of the family's 1533-position model. The record is from RNAcentral.